This 1649-nucleotide long non-coding RNA is filed under the name Homo sapiens (human). Its description in RNAcentral is "HSALNT0335531". Lineage: Eukaryota; Metazoa; Chordata; Mammalia; Primates; Hominidae. The record is from RNAcentral.
AAGAAGAUGAUAAAAUAUAAUCACGAAAAGUCAGAUGAAAACACAAGCCUCCAGGAAAGUUGCAGCCAACCAAUUUCACAAUCUUGUUCCAGGAGUGCCUGACCCAGGUUUCAAAAGAGAAGGGAAAAGAAACACUUGGGAAAAAUGGAAGUUUCAUCUCUGGCCUGCAUUACAGCUUCUGGCAUAUUUUUAGAUGCCAAUAAGUAAUGUCAAAGAAACAGCUGUUAAAAUGAUCCUGCUUAACAGCCAUAAAGGAAUGAAGAUUUCCACAGAGAGCUUUAUCAGUCUCCGUGGAGCUGCCAUUUCCUGCUGACUGCGAGACAAGAUGGAGUGCCAGAUUGUCAUUUAGUUUAACUCCAUGGAAAUGAGGCAAGGGAAUCUGACCAUGAUUAAACCUUUGCAUCCAGCAAAAGAACACAGGGCAAUCAAGGAAACCUUCUGCUGGCCCUCGGGGGACAGACUGUUGAUACGGAAAGCCAGGUCCGGAGAGAUUGAGUUUUGCCCAAAGCCUCAAUGCAAAAUUGGGUCAGUGUCAUGGGAAGAACCCAAAUCUCCAGAUGCUGCCUUCAGCACUCUGUUCCCUGAACUACCCUGUUUCUCAAGACUGGCUCCUGAACCACUUUCCAUGGAGUUAGAAAGUGAAUGGAGGUAUCAGUCAUUGUCCAUACAGCAUGAAUUUGGAGGGUUUUCUAAUUUAAAGGAAGCCUAGGGCUUCACAUAGCUUGUAGACAGAAGAUGAGAUUAAAGUAAAAGAACUGAUAAGUAAUAUUUUCUAUUUCGUCAAGUAAUGUUACCAGCUGUGUAAUGAGAGCUAUGUCUACAAAAUCCAGAACGAAUUGGAGACUUCAAAUUGUUACUGCAGAUAGCUAAAUCAAACUAAUUAUCCGGGCCUCAAAUAGAACUUUGUGGUCUGAAUGAGAUGGAGAAUAAUUUGUACUGUAAGUAAAUUCCGUUUCUUCAUUGUGAAAAACACACAUUCACCUGUCCAAACCCAAAGAAUGGACUCAGAGACACGAAGAACAGUGAAAGCAAGUCUUUUAAUGGUGGUCUUGCAAGAUAGGGUGUUUGGUAGGUAGGUUCAUCCGGGGCAGUUACAGAAGGUAAUUUAUCUCCUAGCAUGCAAGUCCCUCCCUUAGGUCCUCAUUGGUUGAGUACUGUGGGGUUACAAUCUUCCCGGAUGUCGCCUAAGUUUCAUGAUCCCCCUUAUAAGGUUAUACCCCACCCCCCUCCCUGCUUAAGUUUCGAUUUCCCGAUAAUGAAACUUUCUUCCCUUUUAUGGGCUGACCCCUCCUCUACAUUCUGUUCACUUAUCGUGACCUUCUAGGUGCAUGAGAUGUGCGGUUUGUUACAUCCACAGGCUGGCCGCCAGUACUUAGAUUUAUCAUGCCUUGAAAAUGGACCAUUUAAAAUGUUUUUUCACAUUCGUGAUAAUUGUUAAUAUGUAAAAAUGUUGGGUGAGAAGGCCCAAGUUAGAAAAAAAUAACCCAGUGCAAUACAUGCUUUUGAAAAUGUAUCCUGGGACCAGAGCUUCCCAUACGUCAGUCAUUCACAUACAACUGCCACCAUUUUUACUAUAUCUGCAUGUUUCCAUUAAAUUCACUUUUUAAUAUAAGUAAAUGUAUGAAAAAAGAAAGCUUUGUAAAACUAUA